Molecule: ribosomal RNA, 315 nt
Filed under: uncultured bacterium
Lineage: Bacteria
Description: bacterial SSU rRNA
Rfam family: Bacterial small subunit ribosomal RNA
Source: RNAcentral
AGUGAAUGCUAGGGGGUAUGCUUAACACAUGCAAGUUGAACGGAACACUUGUUUAGUAGCGCACGGGUGAGUAAUAUAGGAGAACCAAGCACUAAGUUCGGAACAAGAGAUACGUCUGUAUAAAUGCCGGAUAUUGAAAGAUUUAUCGCUUAGUGUGGGGCUCCUAUGGGAUUAGGUUGUUGGUUGUGUAAUGGACAACCAAGCCGGUGAUCCCUAGUUGGUCUGAGAGGAUGAUCAGCCACACUGGGACUAGAAACAAGGCCCAGACUUCCAUGGAGGGCAGCAGUGAGGAGUAUGGACAAUGGGCGCAAGCUU